This is a long non-coding RNA of Anguilla anguilla (European eel), 1023 nucleotides long. RefSeq lists it as uncharacterized. The transcript is spliced from 2 exons. The record is from RefSeq and is a predicted model, not a curated record. Lineage: Eukaryota; Metazoa; Chordata; Actinopteri; Anguilliformes; Anguillidae.
CUCACACACACACACAGUCAUUCAAAUUCAAAUUGUAAAUGCUUUAUUGGCAUGAAAUACAUUAGUAAAUAUUGCCAAAGCGUACAUGUAUAAAUACAAAUGACACUACAGCUUGAACAUAAACAAUUGUUACAUCUAACUGUUUAACAACAACAGACACUAUAGGAAUAAUAACAAUAAUAAUAAUAAAAAUGCCAAAAACAUUAAAUGAAUAAUAAUAAUAAAUUCAUAAAUUAAAUUAAUAAAUUUGGUGGUCAACAAUUGUCCCUCAAAUUAUUGCAGGCAGAGAUGUACUUUGCUGCUAAUGGAGCUGUUGGCCCUUCUCCUUGCAGGAUUUAUAAAUUCGCAUUUGGUUUGUGAAUUGAAGUUUUUUAAAAUCAGAGAUAACUUGUUGAAAUAAUUUAUCCUAGUUUCUGAAUAUUUUUACAAUGUAGGAGAAAGUGCAUCUCUGUUUCCCCAGAGUACUGCUUACACACAUGCCUCUGUAAUUAUUGGGGUCUACUUUGUCUCCACGUUUAUAAAUUGUGGAGAAAGUCCCCGGUUCCAGAUGUCAGGAUAAUAAUUGAUAUUUGUAACAGCCCGAUUUAAGCCUGUAGUGUUAUUUUGGUAAUGAGUACUGAGGAACAUGUUAACAGAGUCAAUUAACUCAGUUGAUCUCAUUGCUUUGGUGAAUUUAUCUGCACUUGUUUCAGCCCAUCUGUAUGAUUGGUUAAGAUUAUACAGCUUACAGGGCUGUGUGUAUUAAUUUCUGCAGUCUCCAGUUCUUUUCAGAAAUAUCCUGAAUUUGUUAUGGCCUGAAAUGGGGGUUUGUUGCCUGACAGUGAAUGCGCUGGUGGAGGAGAGGGGUCCAUGUCAGUGACGGCGUAGUCAACAGCACUUGUCCUGAGAGCUGAGCAGGUCCAGGAAGUUGCCUGCUUCCACCACGCAGCGUAUGUUAAAAGAACCUGCCUGCAUCAAGCUGGGGAAUCUCCACCAGGAGAAUCUCCAUGGAGAGGACCGGAAGCACGUGACCUCCAUGUAGAG